UGUUCACCCACCAAUAGGGAAC
This 22-nucleotide small nuclear RNA is filed under the name Arabidopsis thaliana (thale cress). RNAcentral's name for it is "snRNA_01455". Lineage: Eukaryota; Viridiplantae; Streptophyta; Magnoliopsida; Brassicales; Brassicaceae. The record is from RNAcentral.